CCUACGGGGGGCAGCAGUGAGGAAUAUUGGUCAAUGGCCGAAAGGCUGAACCAGCCAAGUCGCGUGAGGGAAGAAGGCCCUACGGGUUGUAAACCUCUUUUGUCGGGGAGCAAAGCGAACCACGUGUGGAUCUUUGCGUGUACCCUAAGAAUAAGCAUCGGCUAACUCCGUGCCAGCAGCCGCGGUAAUACGGAGGAUGCGAGCGUUAUCCGGAUUUAUUGGGGUUAAGGGGUGCGUAGGUGGUGUUGCAAGUCAGCGGUAAAAUUUCGGGGCUCAACCCCGUACUGCCGUUGAAACUGCAUGCCUUGAGUGCGCGAGAGGUAGGCGGAAUGCGUGGUGUAGCGGUGAAAUGCAUAGAUAUCACGCAGAACUCCGAUUGCGAAGGCAGCAUACC
Molecule: ribosomal RNA, 394 nt
Filed under: uncultured bacterium
Lineage: Bacteria
Description: partial 16S ribosomal RNA
Rfam family: Bacterial small subunit ribosomal RNA
Source: RNAcentral